RNAcentral lists this ribosomal RNA (253 nucleotides) under uncultured bacterium. RNAcentral describes it as "partial 16S ribosomal RNA". It matches the Rfam family "Bacterial small subunit ribosomal RNA", at positions 524 to 776 of the family's 1533-position model. The record is from RNAcentral.
UACAGAGGGUGCGAGCGUUAAUCGGAAUUACUGGGCGUAAAGCGUGCGUAGACGGUUAUCUAAGUCGGAUGUGAAAGCCCCGGGCUCAACCUGGGAAUUGCAUUCGAGACUGAAUAGCUAGGGUACGGUAGAGGGAAGUGGAAUUUCCGGUGUAGCGGUGAAAUGCGUAGAUAUCGGAAGGAACAUCAGUGGCGAAAGCGACUUCCUGGACCAGUACCGACGUUCAGGCACGAAAGCGUGGGGAGCAAACAGG